This 512-nucleotide ribosomal RNA is filed under the name Terebra cf. laevigata MW-2015. RNAcentral's name for it is "partial 16S ribosomal RNA". It matches the Rfam family "Bacterial large subunit ribosomal RNA", at positions 1822 to 2598 of the family's 2925-position model. Lineage: Eukaryota; Metazoa; Mollusca; Gastropoda; Neogastropoda; Terebridae. The record is from RNAcentral.
CUUGUAGUUCUAGAUAAAUAGGGAGUCGGACCUGCCCGGUGAAGUUUUUUAACGGCCGCGGUACUCUGACCGUGCAAAGGUAGCAUAAUCAUUUGCCUUAUAAUUGAAGGCUGGUAUGAAUGGUUUGACAAGAAUAAAGCUGUCUCUUUAUAAUUUGAUAGAACUUUAUUUUUAGGUGAAAAAGCCUUAAUUUGAUUAAUAGACAAGAAGACCCUAUCGAGCUUUAGAUAACCUAGUAGGCUAGAUAAAAUCUUAUUAGUUAAAAGGAUAAACUACUAGAUACUUUGGUUGGGGCGACUGAGGAACAUGGAAAGCUUCCUAUAAAUGUAGUUAAACAUACGGGUGUUGAUCCGAACAUAUUGAUUAAAGGAAUUAGUUACCGUAGGGAUAACAGCAUUAUCUUUUUUGAGAGUUCUUAUCGAAAAAAAGGUUUGUGACCUCGAUGUUGGACCAGAAUGUCCUAAAGAUGCAGAAGUCUUUAAGGGUUGGUCUGUUCGACCAUUAAAAUUCUA